RNAcentral lists this ribosomal RNA (488 nucleotides) under uncultured bacterium. Its description in RNAcentral is "partial 16S ribosomal RNA". It matches the Rfam family "Bacterial small subunit ribosomal RNA", at positions 28 to 507 of the family's 1533-position model. The record is from RNAcentral.
GACGAACGCUGGCGGCGUGCUUAACACAUGCAAGUCGAACGCGCCUGUCCUCUGGGUUUCUGGGGGGUGGGUGAGUGGCGAACGGGUGAGUCACACGUGAGUAACCUGCCCCCUUCUUCGGGAUAACGGUCUGAAAGGGCUGCUAAUCCCGUGUAUUCACUGGUCUCCGCAUUGGGUCUGGUGGAACGGUUUUUUUCUGGUGGGGGAUGGGCUCGCGGCCUAUCAGCUUGUUGGUGGGGUGAUGGCCCACCAAGGCUUUGACGGGUAGCCGGCCUGAGAGGGUGACCGGUAACAUUGGGACUGAGAUACGGCCCAGACGAGUACGGGGGGGGGAAGUGGGGAAUAUGGCACAAUGGGCGAAAGCCUGAUGCAGCGACGCCGAGUGAGGGAUGGAGGCCUUCGGGUUGUGAACCUCUGUCGGACGUGGUCAAGAAGCGACGUGGGUCGUGGUGAGGGUAGUGGGUAAAGAAGCGCCGGCUAACUACGUG